GAUGAACGCUGGCGGCGUGCCUAAUACAUGCAAGUCGAGCGAACAGACGAGGAUCUUGCUCCUCUGACGUUAGCGGCGGACGGGUGAGUAACACGUGGAUAACCUACCUAUAAGACUGGGAUAACUUCGGGAAACCGGAGCUAAUACCGGAUAAUAUAUUGAACCGCAUGGUUCAAUAGUGAAAGACGGUGUUGCUGUCACUUAUAGAUGGAUCCGCGCCGCAUUAGAUAGUUGGUGAGGUAACGGCUUACGAAGGCAACGAUGCGUAGCCGACGUGAGAGGGGGGUAGGCCACACUGGAAGUGGGACACGGUCAAGAGUCCUACGGUAGGCCGCAGAAGGGAACCUGCCGCAAUGGGCGAGAGCCUGACGGAGCAACGCCGAGCGAGUGAUGAAGGUCUUCGGAUCGGAAAACUCUGUUAUUAGGGAAGAACCAAUGUGUAAGUAACUAUGCACGUCUUGACGGUACCUAAUCAGAAAGCCACGGCUAACUACGUG
Molecule: ribosomal RNA, 497 nt
Filed under: uncultured bacterium
Lineage: Bacteria
Description: partial 16S ribosomal RNA
Rfam family: Bacterial small subunit ribosomal RNA
Source: RNAcentral